This 497-nucleotide ribosomal RNA is filed under the name uncultured bacterium. Its description in RNAcentral is "partial 16S ribosomal RNA". It matches the Rfam family "Bacterial small subunit ribosomal RNA", at positions 28 to 507 of the family's 1533-position model. The record is from RNAcentral.
GAUGAACGCUGGCGGCGUGCCUAAUACAUGCAAGUCGAGCGAACGGACGAGAAGCUUGCUUCUCUGAUGUUAGCGGCGGACGGGUGAGUAACACGUGGAUAACCUACCUAUAAGACUGGGAUAACUUCGGGAAACCGGAGCUAAUACCGGAUGAUAUUUUGAACCGCAUGGUUCAAAAGUGAAAGACGGUCUUGCUGUCACUUAUAGAUGGAUCCGCGCUGCAUUAGCUAGUUGGUAAGGUAACGGCUUACCAAGGCAACGAUGCAUAGCCGACCUGAGAGGGUGAUCGGCCACACUGGAACUGAGACACGGUCCAGACACCUACGGGAGGCAGCAGUAGGGAAUCUUCCGCAAUGGGCGAAAGCCUGACGGAGCAACGCCGCGUGAGUGAUGAAGGUCUUCGGAUCGUAAAACUCUGUUAUUAGGGAAGAACAUAUGUGUGAGUAACUGUGCGCAUCUUGACGGUACCUAAUCAGAAAGCCACGGCUAACUACGUG